This 253-nucleotide ribosomal RNA is filed under the name uncultured bacterium. RNAcentral's name for it is "partial 16S ribosomal RNA". It matches the Rfam family "Bacterial small subunit ribosomal RNA", at positions 524 to 776 of the family's 1533-position model. The record is from RNAcentral.
UACGAAGGGUGCAAGCGUUACUCGGAAUUACUGGGCGUAAAGCGUGCGUAGGUGGUUUGUUAAGUCUGUUGUGAAAGCCCCGGGCUCAACCUGGGAAUGGCAAUGGAUACUGGCAAGCUAGAGUGCGGUAGAGGGUAGUGGAAUUCCCGGUGUAGCGGUGAAAUGCGUAGAGAUCGGGAGGAACACCAGUGGCGAAGGCGGCUGCCUGGACCAGCACUGACACUGAGGCACGAAAGCGUGGGGAGCAAACAGG